Molecule: ribosomal RNA, 730 nt
Filed under: Bacillus licheniformis
Lineage: Bacteria; Bacillati; Bacillota; Bacilli; Caryophanales; Bacillaceae
Description: bacterial SSU rRNA
Rfam family: Bacterial small subunit ribosomal RNA
Source: RNAcentral
GCGUUCAGGCCAACCCCGGGGGCGGCCUUAACCCUUCCAUUUCGAAGGGACCAAGGGGACCUUUUCCUAAGGUAAGGGGCGAAGGGUUGAUUAACACGGGGGUACCCGCCCGUUAAGACUGGAAUAAUUCCGGGAAACGGGGGUUAAUACGGGAUGCUUGAUUGACCCGCAUGGUUCAAUCAUAAAAGGUGGCUUCAGCUACCACUUACAGACGGACUCGCGGCGCAUUAGCUAGUUGGUGAGGUAACGGCUCACCAAGGCGACGAUGCGUAGCCGACCUGAGAGGGUGAUCGGCCACACUGGGACUGAGACACGGCCCAGACUCCUACGGGAGGCAGCAGUAGGGAAUCUUCCGCAAUGGACGAAAGUCUGACGGAGCAACGCCGCGUGAGUGAUGAAGGUUUUCGGAUCGUAAAACUCUGUUGUUAGGGAAGAACAAGUACCGUUCGAAUAGGGCGGUACCUUGACGGUACCUAACCAGAAAGCCACGGCUAACUACGUGCCAGCAGCCGCGGUAAUACGUAGGUGGCAAGCGUUGUCCGGAAUUAUUGGGCGUAAAGCGCGCGCAGGCGGUUUCUUAAGUCUGAUGUGAAAGCCCCCGGCUCAACCGGGGAGGGUCAUUGGAAACUGGGGAACUUGAGUGCAGAAGAGGAGAGUGGAAUUCCACGUGUAGCGGUGAAAUGCGUAGAGAUGUGGAGGAACACCAGUGGCGAAGGCGACUCUCUGGUCU